AAUACACGUCACUUAUAGAGGUUCGGUGAAUUGAACGUUGUUCAUUCAUGAUUCGUACACAUAAAGAAGAAUGAGUCAUCAAAACGGGAAUGAUUCAAACAAGUGAAAGUGAAUUAAUUAAUCCUGUCUCCACGAAGAUUUAAAUCCUCAUGGCAUAAUCAAGAAGAACAUCCCUCAUUGAAGCUAGAUGAGCAUGUACCAACAUUUCAUGCUCGUCAGUGCAACAAUCAACACAAAAGCACAUUUCCUGUGAUCUUUUAAAUCUCAAAAAUGAACGUUUCCGAUCAGACAUUAGAAAAACCAUCUUUUUGCGAUUGAGCUUGCAAGAUCAGGCUUGCUAUUUUUGUCGAGUCAUUUCAAGAUGGCUUAUUUAUCCACGGCUAUCAGGUCGCCAUGAAAGCUGUUGAAUUCCAGCACCACGUCUCAACCUCGAAAGUGGAAAAUGUGCUCGUUGCCAACGAAACUUAAAAGCAAACUGUCAAAGGGAUUUCCUUUCCUGUUGCAUUCAUCCCGGCUUUCCACUUUCUGCAUACACGGCACCACAUGCUAUCUAUAGUUGUGCAUGAAGCUGGCCUUUUUGGUUUGAACGAACCUCAUCUGUUUCCCAAGUGGCGUAGCCUUUGGAGAAUGGGAAAACGUGUCCGGAGAAAUUGGCUUCGCGAAUGAUGGCUUUGAUCCUAUUCAUGGCCGGGAUCUGCUCACUGGGUCCCUCCAGAAGGCGAUGAGUAAACUCAAAAAUGGACAUCUGUAAUUGAGAGCAGCCUUAUCCCUUUGAAAGAGGCUUGCUUACAUGUGAAGGUCACUCUUCCCCAAUCAAAAAGCUUUCACGACCACCCGAAAGCUGAAAAUCUUCCCAUGGGGUUCGGCAACUAAAUAUGAGACCAGCGGGGAAUGUGCCAAAAGGAACACUCAAGAAAUUGAUUGCAUCACCAUCUAAGCGGAAACGUGGGGUUUGCUUCCCAUACGCAAACGACUUCGUCCAUUGACGAAGCAAACCAAAACUAUUUCUAGGAUUGGCACAACCAACAGACCGACUUGUCUAUCUAAGAAGUGUUCUGAUUACCUUCAAACUGUGAUACAUAAUUAGUGAAUUGCAAAGCCCAAGAAUCCACAUGGGAUAUGAUGUCUUGCUGACUAGAGAUGGCUUCAGCCACAGACUUGAUUUUGGGGAACUCUUCAGGCAAAUCGAGAUCUGUCAUGAAUACGUGGACAGUCUCCCCUUGACUGGGAUAAUACCUGGAAAGCAAGAAGAUCGAUUAUUUCGUGCUCAUUUAUCAAAAGAUUACAUGCCACCACUUCCACCACCCAACUCUCAACUCUCAAUAUCCAGACUUGCUGGAGAAAUGAGAGCAACAAAUCAAACUGGAAUAAGUGUGCAUGCUCUAUAAUGUGUUUUUGGAGUACUAGAGAAUAGACAUGACUGAGUGAUUUCUCUUGGCACAUUGCUUA
Molecule: long non-coding RNA, 1449 nt
Organism: Tigriopus californicus
Lineage: Eukaryota; Metazoa; Arthropoda; Copepoda; Harpacticoida; Harpacticidae
Exons: 4
Source: RefSeq, a predicted model, not a curated record